Molecule: ribosomal RNA, 467 nt
Filed under: uncultured bacterium
Lineage: Bacteria
Description: partial 16S ribosomal RNA
Rfam family: Bacterial small subunit ribosomal RNA
Source: RNAcentral
GACGAACGCUGGCGGCGUGCUUAACACAUGCAAGUCGAACGGAAAGGCCCUGCUUUUGGGGGGUUCGCGAGUGGCGAACGGGUGAGUAACGCGUGAGUAACCUGCCCUUGACUUUGGUAUAACUUCAGGAAACUGGGUCUAAUACCGGAUAAGAGCUCCUUCUUCUUGGUGGUGGUUGGAAAGUUUCGUCGGUUGGGGAUGGACUCGCGGCUUCUCAGCUUGUUGGUGGGUGAGUGGCUUACCAAGGCUUGGACGGGUAGCCGGCCUGAGAGGGUGACCGGCCAUAGUGGGAGUGAGACGCGGCAGACACCUCCACGGGAGAGCGGAGGGGAGAAUAUUGCAAUAGGGGCGGGAGCGUGGCGGCGAAGCGGCGCGUGGGGGGAGAGGGCUCUCGUGUUGUACACCGCUCGCGAGUGUGGAGACGUGUGGGGGAGGGGAAUGGAUAAAGAAGCACCGGCAAACUAGGG